CGCCGGGAUGCGGUUGGCCACGACCCAACCCCCUUAAAGAACUUGGGUAAAGAACCAACCGCCUCCCUCCUCCCGCCCGUUGUCCCCUGCGGACCCCGGCGAAACAUGAUUCAUUCACUCUCAGGAGUGACUCGGUUGCGGUGAGUGGCUGCGGAGAGUUACGUUCCCGGAAACAACCCACAAAAACGACGGCCCCCGCCAGGACUGCAAUCCUGUACGAGGGCCUGACCGUUCAGGAAGAGAACGACUUCCCC
This 254-nucleotide non-coding RNA is filed under the name Streptomyces turgidiscabies Car8. RNAcentral describes it as "Streptomyces sRNA 4677". It matches the Rfam family "Streptomyces sRNA 4677". Rfam says of the family: Located in the intergenic region between anti-sigma factor SCO4677 gene and a putative regulatory protein gene SCO4676. scr4677 expression requires the SCO4677 activity and scr4677 sRNA itself seem to affect the levels of the SCO4676-associated transcripts. The record is from Rfam by way of RNAcentral. Lineage: Bacteria; Bacillati; Actinomycetota; Actinomycetes; Kitasatosporales; Streptomycetaceae.